AAGAAAUAAAAUAACGAAAGAACUCGAAAGCGGGGGAGCAAACAGGAUUAGAUACCCUGGUAGUCCACGCCGAAACGAUGAUUACUAGGUGUGGGGGGGAUUUGACCCCUUCCGUGCCGCAGUUAACACAAUAAGUAAUGCACCUGGGGAGUACGACCGCAAGGUUGAAACUCAAAGGAAUGACGGGGGCCCGCACAAGCAGUAGAGUAUGUGAAUUAAUUCGAAGCAUCGCGAAGAACCUUACCGGGUCUUGACAUCGAGUGGCCGCCCAAGAGAUUGGGCUUUCUCUUCGGAGACACGAAGACAGGUGGUGCAUGGUUGUCGUCAGCUCGUGUCGUGAGAUGUUGGGUUAAGUCCCGCAACGAGCGCAACCCUUAUGAUUAGUUGCUACGCAAGAGCACUCUAAUCAGACUGCCGUUGACAAAACGGAGGAAGGUGGGGAUGACGUCAAAUCAUCAUGCCCUUUAUGACCCGGGCCUCACACGUACUACAAUGGCGUUUAACAAAGAGAAGCAAAGCCGCGAGGCAGAGCAAAUCUCGAAAAAACGUCUCAGUUCAGAUUGCAGGCUGCAACUCGCCUGCAUGAAGUCGGAAUUGCUA
This 600-nucleotide ribosomal RNA is filed under the name uncultured bacterium. RNAcentral's name for it is "bacterial SSU rRNA". It matches the Rfam family "Bacterial small subunit ribosomal RNA", at positions 730 to 1337 of the family's 1533-position model. The record is from RNAcentral.